GCCUACGGCCACAACACCCUGAAAACACCCGAUGUUGUCUGAUCUCAAAGCUAAGCAGAGUCAGGCUCNGCCAGUACUCCAAUGAUAGACCACCUGGGAAUCCCUGGUGCUGUAGGCU
This 118-nucleotide ribosomal RNA is filed under the name Amazona aestiva (blue-fronted amazon). Lineage: Eukaryota; Metazoa; Chordata; Aves; Psittaciformes; Psittacidae. The record is from RNAcentral.